Molecule: ribosomal RNA, 253 nt
Filed under: uncultured bacterium
Lineage: Bacteria
Description: partial 16S ribosomal RNA
Rfam family: Bacterial small subunit ribosomal RNA
Source: RNAcentral
UACGGAGGGGGCUAGCGUUGUUCGGAAUUAUUGGGCGUAAAGGGCGCGUAGGCGGCUAUUCAAGUGGCGGGUGAAAUCCCUCGGCUUAACCGAGGAACUGCCUGCCAGACUGGAUGGCUUGAGACCGGGAGAGGUGAGUGGAAUUCCCAGUGUAGCGGUGAAAUGCGUAGAUAUCUGGAGGAACACCGGUGGCGAAGGCGGCAUCCUGGACCGACACUGACGCUGAGGAGCGAAAGCCAGGGGAGCAAACGGG